AUGGAAACGAAAAAAAAAAAUUCAUUAAAACAGUAUGAUGAUAUCAGUUUAGAACUUCUUAUAUGCAAUGUGUUGUUGUCUAAUAUUUCUGAUUAUACAAGAGGGGAAGAAGAUAAACAUGAACAAAUAAAAACUCUUAAUAAAAUAAAUAAUAUUUUUUGUUCGUAUAGUUUUGAAUUAUGCGAUAAUGAAACUGAAAAUAACUUAUAUAAAAAAUUUUAUAAUAUAUGUUAUUUUAAGGAAUAUGAGUUAUUAAGUCAAGUGUUAAAUCAAUUAAUAGACUUGAAUGAAAAUUUUAGUAUAAUUAUAUCUUACAAUGCUUUUGAAUUUUUUCACAUAUGGAAGUUAUUUUACCCAGGUUUUAAAAAAAAAAAAAAAAACGCAUUAUAAAAUGAUAAAAAAAUAUCACCGUAUGCGUAUAUAUGUAUACAAUUUAUAUGUGUUGUAGCACUUUUAUG
Molecule: long non-coding RNA, 458 nt
Filed under: Piliocolobus tephrosceles (Ugandan red Colobus)
Lineage: Eukaryota; Metazoa; Chordata; Mammalia; Primates; Cercopithecidae
Description: lncRNA (ENSPTEG00000013676.1)
Source: RNAcentral